GUUCACAUCACAAUACAAUAGUUGAAUACUUCAACCUCUAAAAUAUAUAGGAUACUCAUUUCUCUUUUUAGUAAAUAAGAAGGUAUAUAGCUAAACGAUUUCUAAAACAAUAUUUCAAAUCUUCGUUGUACUCCUUAAAUCGAUAACAAUCAUCUUUCUCUUUAGCAUAUCAACUCCAAUAAUAAAUUCUCACUGCAAAUACAAACAUGAAUAAAAGCAAGUCAUAUAAUCUAAACAAUCAUAAACAUAUUAAUUAUCCACAAUAAGUACAGGAGCAAAAUUUUAUGAAGAAAUAAUAUAAACUAUUACCCAUAAAUUAGUUAAUCAUAGUUUGAUUAAGACAAGUUGGUAAAUUCUUUUAUCAUGAAUGUUGAGAGCAUAUACGAAAUACCAGCAGAAAGAAGCUAAACUUAUUUGAUUUGACAAACUUUCUAGAAAUACAAAUUUGGGCACCUCAGAGGCAUAGAAGAGUUUGUACAUGGUCAAGGGAGAUAAUCAGAAAACUCUCAACAGAAGUAUUGGAGAUUAAUUAUGAGAACUCACGGAAUUAUGUUUUGUUAAAUAUCUUCUACACUUUAUUGUCAACAAAAAAAAUAAUUAAAAGUACGUCAUUAAGGCAGUGGUGACAAAAAUGAAUUCUCAGAAGUACUGAUGUGAUGUACUGAUGUACUGAUGUUUGUCAAGCGAUCAGAGGGACAGUUUUGUCUACUUUGCCUCCUGUGAAAAUCUAUCUUAGCGCUCCUUUGAGCCAUCCAAUUAAAAGGAGAUUGUAAAAAUGCAAGGCUAGCUAAUCUACCUCAUUGAUGUCUUGACGAAUGGUAAAAUCGUAUCCUUGUAAUUGGCCACCUUUUUCCAUAUCAAUUAACUAAAAAUCAUCUGUUAAUAACCAAAUUAACUUCCAAGAAGAAGGUGGACGAGUUAUUUAAUUUGUUGACUUGACAGUGUGUUUCUUUCUGGGUGGCGUUGAGUAGUCUUAGCUUCAAGUGAGAAAGAAAGAUAAGCAUUAUAUAGCUUCAAAUGUGUUUACAAUCUCCCCAUACUGGAGAAUUGAUCAUUGAAUAGUAAAUAAAAGAAUGCACUCAAACACCACCAAAUCCUAAUAAGACACACUAACGAGUAACGGCUGUACAUAGGUGAUAUACAUUUGAAAACUAGAUUAGCUUCCAAUCAUAAUGACAAUAUCAGCAAUAAGUACUAAGUUUUAGUUUCACUCGGAACACAAUAUCAAAAGUAAAACUCCAAACCAACCAAAAUGCAAAAAAUUGAACAUUUUUAAUGCCUUGAGCAUUCAUGGUCCCUGACUUGGAAAAAAUAUUGACCCCAAAAAUCAAGCCUAAUAUGCUAAAUGAUUGCGAAGAAAAUCAAAAUCUUCAAAUUUCAGCAAUACAUACUCAGUUAGACAUUUCUUCGAACACCUUCACCCCAAGUUAUAAACAUGAAGACAAUUGUAUACAGAUAUAUAAAAAUCUAGAAUGCUUUAUAUUCAUAUUAACACACACGGGGAUAGAUAUGCUAGUACAAGAAACUCACCUUAAGAGAAGGUUGAAUGCUUGAAUAAUGGUGAAAAUAAAAUUGAUAAAAGGGGCAAAAUUACUGCACUGCCGGAUAAACAAAUUUCAGGAUGGAAAGAAACACUCUUCAUUAAAUUCUUGACACGUAACAAUUUCCUCUCUUUAAUACGUGUACAUCAAUUAAAGAAUCAUAUUCUUUGUCUCGCAUGGCAUCUUGGGUCAUUCAUACCAUAUGGCUCAGAUAUAG
RNAcentral lists this long non-coding RNA (1758 nucleotides) under Panax ginseng (ginseng). Its description in RNAcentral is "long non-coding RNA (PGIN_LNC009095)". Lineage: Eukaryota; Viridiplantae; Streptophyta; Magnoliopsida; Apiales; Araliaceae. The record is from RNAcentral.